UUUUUUUGAAGAUGACUCAGGUUGCUCCAGGUCAAAGCAUGAUCCUGAUGACACUUGUUGGAAAAGCAGGCUGGAGCCUCAGAAGAGCUGGCCCUGCAGCUCUUCUUACAGCAGUUAAUCCAGGAUUUGAACACCAGCGAGUAAGGCGAGAGCCCAGCCUGGGCCCACAGUUGUUCACAGCCAUGAGGCUGCCGACCAGCAGGAAAGGGGAGGUCAGCAUGCUCACUGCAAUCUCCAUCACAAACUUGAUGUAGCUCUGGAUGGACAGGGCCUGGCCUAACUGGGAACCCCAAUUCUGGUCAUUUCUCAGCCCCCCUAGGUGUCAAUCAUGCUGUCAUCUACCAGGUAGUCAUUGAUAAAAGUGGGCCAGCAGGUUAUAGCUUCACAAGAAAACUAUUUCACCCAGGAGAUGAAAGAUCAAGCCAACAAAGAAUCCCAGCAGCCCUUCCUCUUUGAAAAUCUUCUCAGUGGAGCUCAGGACACCACUGUACUUGACCUCCCAUCCCACAAAUUAGACCAUGCAGCACAUUGAGAUGGCAUGCAGGGGGUGGGCCAACAUACAGGACACACACUGCAUCAUCAUCCCCUAGGAGGUCUCCUUCACUGCCUGCUUCAGAGAAGUCUUCAUAUCCAUCCUUAUUGGAAACCUGCUUGAUUUCAUCUGGAGGGAAAACCUUCCUGCUGCCCCCGUUACAAAGGAGAGGGGUCACAUCAGUCAGAGGCUCAGACCUCGGAACAGCCCUGUCUUGCCAUCCAUCCCACCCAUGCCCACUGCCACAAACAGCUUCAGUGGUCAGGGAGUUGUCUUCAGGCCCCAGGCCCCACCAUCCAUUCUGCUGGCCAAGGGUAGCAUGGAUGUGCAUGGGCACUCUCGACCUUCACUGCAAGUUCCUGCUCCACCUCCAGCUCCUGCCAUCUCCGUGGCACUACCACAAGCCUGGGGCCAGAAAUUUUAACAAUCACAGCAUUGUUUAUGGUGGCAAAAAUUGGGGAAAAAAUCUGAAUGUACAUUAUGCCAGUUAUUUAUUGCCUUUCAGUUCCAAAUCCACCAUUGAUUGCUUGCUGUACCAUAAUGAAGCUGGGCCCUGUAAGCAUUUCUUCCUCGUUAGUGGAAUGCUAACAUUUUGUCAGUAGAGGGCCUUCGGAGGAUACUACAAGAGGAAGGGCUUACUCUUCCUAGUUCCAGUGUGUGUCUAUUCCUGAUUCUGUUCUAGGCUGCCAAUGGCAUGUGUGAGAACUUCUAGUGGCACUCACGCUGUCAAGUAUCAGUGGCUCCACUGCGGACUGCUUCCACACCUGUGUCACUGAGACAAUUUUCCAGUGAGUUCCACCAGCACCCAUUGCCAACGUUAGCCUGCAGCAGCUCAUUAGACCACUACCGUCCAGUUGGUCAUGUCCACAACUCCUCCAACAUGUUUUGGAUCUCAGCCCUGGAGGGGAUGGGACUAUUCCAAAUUUAUUUCUUCCUUUGGGUACUUUGCCUCAGCCCUAGAGGUAGUGACUCCUCCCUAUAUAUGCUGUUCCUGUAAUAUGUAACACUUUCUAUCCCUUCUAUAGUCAGUCACUUGCUCCUAGUUGAUAAUUCCCUUUAUUAAAAUUUUCAAUUUACUGUGUGGUUUUCUGUCUCCUGACUGGACUUAACCUACUGUAUCACUGGGAGCAAGAUGAAAUAAAGUAGAAUAUUAUGCAAGAAUUAAGAAUAAUGUAAGCUAGGCACAGUGGCUCAUGCCUGUAAUCUCAGCACUUUGGGAGGCCGAGGCAAGAGGCUAACUUGAGCCCAGGAGUUUGAGACCUGCCUGGUCAACAUAGCAAGAUCUUACCUUUACAAAAAAAAAAAAAAAAAAAA
Macaca fascicularis (crab-eating macaque) is the source of this 1846-nucleotide long non-coding RNA. The record is from Ensembl. Lineage: Eukaryota; Metazoa; Chordata; Mammalia; Primates; Cercopithecidae.